Molecule: non-coding RNA, 964 nt
Organism: Python bivittatus (Burmese python)
Lineage: Eukaryota; Metazoa; Chordata; Lepidosauria; Squamata; Pythonidae
Source: RefSeq, a predicted model, not a curated record
AUAUUUACCAAUUAGUACUGUACUGAGAUGAUGAGAGUCUAACUUCAAAUAAAACAGGACUUUCAUAGUCUGCACAUCGAGCCAUCCUGAUCUUACGACCUACGCUUCCAUCCUCCGUAUUCCCGUUUCCUAGACCAGCGUAAGGCUUUCCCGAACCAGCGACGCUGUCGGGCUGCAUCACAGCGUCCGUCAGAGGCGCAUGCGCCCUCUGGAUGAGGUGGCUCGCGCGACCCGCCCCCACCAACGGAGAAUUUAAAGGUUAUACAAAAUGACCCAGAAAAUAAUGAUUCAUUAUAUGAACACUAUAGAGAAACAUGGGGAAAUUCUGAUUCUGAGGCAGAAGAGGACACAAUUCACUCACAGAAAUCAGUUCUUCCAAGCCAUCUCUAUGCAAAAUACAUAAGUCUCCCUCCAUAUUACAUUCUUUGGACAAGGAAGAAAUGGCUCACAGCAUAGUAGCAACAUCUCUAAUUUUAUGAUAAAAUUAAAAUGAGGAGGCAAGAAAGAUGGACUUCUGACAAUCAUUGAGGUCCUGAAUUAUUAUUCUUUUUACGCAAAUAUCUGUACCCCACAUACUGUUGGUAAGUGAUGUUAUGAAAAUAAAAAUAGCUCUGAAAGCCAUAUUUUUUCUGAUGGAGAAGUAUGCUUAUUUGAUGCAUCUAUAUUACAGCUAUGUUUGAGAAGAUAAUCAUACUUAAUGCCAAAUCUGCAUCAGACUGAAAAAUUAGAAUUCCCAACCAGGCAUUAUUCAGUUUUGUUGGGACAUAUAUACCAUUUGUUGGUAUAUCCUAUAUUAACAAUUUUUUCUUUCUGGUCCUGUAACAGAUCAGAAAAGUCUAUGUGACUUUUUGAUUUUUUACAGUGCCAGAUGCAUAUGUCAAUAUACUUCUGAGUUGUCUGUCAAGCUACUAAGAUUUUAAAUACAGGUAGUCCUCACUUAAUGACCCUAAUUGGGGCCAGAAUU